AGCGAACGCUGGCGGCAGGCUUAACACAUGCAAGUCGAGCGGGCAUCCUUGUGGUGUCAGCGGCAGACGGGUGAGUAACGCGUGGGAACGUGCCCUUCGGUUCGGAAUAACUCUGGGAAACUUUAGCUAAUACCGGAUACGUUCGAGAGCAGAAAGGUUUAUCUGCCGAAGGAUCGGCCCGCGUCUGAUUAGCUAGUUGGUGAGGUUAUGGCUCACCAAGGCGACGAUCAGUAGCUGGUCUGAGAGGAUGAUCAGCCACACUGGGACUGAGACACGGCCCAGAAUCCUACGGGAGGGAGCAGUGGGGAAUAUUGGACAAUGGGGGCAAAUCUGGUCAAGCCAUGCCGCGGGAGUGAUGACGGGCUUAGGGUUGUAAAGCUCUUUUCGCCGGGACGAUAAUGACGGUACCGGAGGAAUAAGCCCCGGCUAACUUCGUG
RNAcentral lists this ribosomal RNA (437 nucleotides) under uncultured bacterium. Its description in RNAcentral is "partial 16S ribosomal RNA". It matches the Rfam family "Bacterial small subunit ribosomal RNA", at positions 29 to 507 of the family's 1533-position model. The record is from RNAcentral.